This 433-nucleotide ribosomal RNA is filed under the name uncultured bacterium. Its description in RNAcentral is "partial 16S ribosomal RNA". It matches the Rfam family "Bacterial small subunit ribosomal RNA", at positions 29 to 507 of the family's 1533-position model. The record is from RNAcentral.
AACGAACGCUGGCGGCAGGCCUAACACAUGCAAGUCGAGCGGACCUUUCGGGGUCAGCGGCGGACGGGUGAGUAACGCGUGGGAAUAUGCCCUUCUCUACGGAAUAGUCCUGGGAAACUGGGGGUAAUACCGUAUACGCCCUUUGGGGGAAAGAUUUAUCGGGGAAGGAUUAGCCCGCGUUGGAUUAGGUAGUUGGUGGGGUAAUGGCCUACCAAGCCGACGAUCCAUAGCUGGUUUGGGAGGAUGAUCAGCCACACUGGGACUGAGACACGGCCCAGACUCCUACGGGAGGCAGCAGUGGGGAAUCUUAGACAAUGGGGGCAACCCUGAUCUAGCCAUGCCGCGUGAGUGAUGAAGGCCUUAGGGUUGUAAAGCUCUUUCAGCUGGGAAGAUAAUGACGGUACCAGAAGAAGAAGCCCCGGCUAACUCCGUG